AUUGAACGCUGGCGGCAUGCCUUACACAUGCAAGUCGAACGGCAGCACGGGUGCUUGCACCUGGUGGCGAGUGGCGAACGGGUGAGUAAUACAUCGGAACGCACCUUAUCGUGGGGAUAACGCAGCGAAAGUUGCGCUAAUACCGCAUACGCCCUGAGGGGGAAAGCGGGGGACCGUAAGGCCUCGCGCGAUUAGAGCGGCCGAUGUCUGAUUAGCUUGUUGGUGAGGUAAAAGCUCACCAAGGCGAUGAUCAGUAGCUGGUCUGAGAGGACGAUCAGCCACACUGGGACUGAGACACGGCCCAGACUCCUACGGGAGGCAGCAGUGGGGAAUUUUGGACAAUGGGGGAAACCCUGAUCCAGCAAUGCCGCGUGAGUGAAGAAGGCCUUCGGGUUGUAAAGCUCUUUUGUCAGGAAGAAACAGCAGCUCUAACACAGUCUGCGAAUGACGGUACCUGAAGAAUAAGCACCGGCUAACUACGUGCCAGCCGCCGCCGUAA
This 499-nucleotide ribosomal RNA is filed under the name uncultured bacterium. RNAcentral describes it as "partial 16S ribosomal RNA". It matches the Rfam family "Bacterial small subunit ribosomal RNA", at positions 30 to 523 of the family's 1533-position model. The record is from RNAcentral.